CAAGGAGUUUUCCGCAAUGGGCGCAAGCCUGACGGAGCAACGCCGCGUGGGGGAUGACACCUUUCGGGGCGUAAACCCCUUUUCUUGGGGACGAAGCAGUGACGGUACCCGAGGAAGAAGGCCCGGCUAACUACGUGCCAGCAGCCGCGGUAAUACGUAGGGGCCGAGCGUUGUCCGGAGUUACUGGGCGUAAAGCGCGCGCAGGCGGCUCGUCAAGCCUGACGUGAAAGCCCCCGGCUCAACCGGGGAGGGUCGUCGGGGACUGGCGGGCUUGAGGUCGGCAGGGGUUGGUGGAAUUCCCGGUGUAGUGGUGAAAUGCGUAGAGAUCGGGAGGAACACCCGUGGCGAAGGCGGCCAACUGGGCCGGACCUGACGCUGAGGCGCGAAGGCGUGGGGAGCGAACGGG
Molecule: ribosomal RNA, 406 nt
Filed under: uncultured bacterium
Lineage: Bacteria
Also listed under: 1 other name
Description: bacterial SSU rRNA
Rfam family: Bacterial small subunit ribosomal RNA
Source: RNAcentral